UACGGGGGGGACAAGCGUUGUUCGGAAUUACUGGGCGUAAAGGGCGCGUAGGCGGCCUACUAAGUCGGACGUGAAAUCCCUCGGCUCAACCGAGGAACUGCGUCCGAUACUGGCAGGCUGGAAUCCGGGAGAGGGAUGCGGAAUUCCAGGUGUAGCGGUGAAAUGCGUAGAUAUCUGGAGGAACACCGGUGGCGAAGGCGGCAUCCUGGACCAAUACUGACACUGAAAAGCGAAAGCCAGGGGAGCAAACGGG
This 253-nucleotide ribosomal RNA is filed under the name uncultured bacterium. RNAcentral describes it as "partial 16S ribosomal RNA". It matches the Rfam family "Bacterial small subunit ribosomal RNA", at positions 524 to 776 of the family's 1533-position model. The record is from RNAcentral.